GGGGGGGAAGGGGUCGAUACAUUGUUUUGAUUUAUGUUUUUUUUUUGUAAUUUUGAGAAGAAAUGUAGGGCUAUUGAGAUCAUAACAAAAUUAAAACUGGUUCUUUUCAUUUGUUUCUUUGUCUAGUAUAAACAUUAAAUGAGGUUCUUCGCGAUACAUGUAUUAUCAAUUCUUCUUCGUUCAGGCCCGUACACUCCAAAGAGAGUCAAACUGUAAACAAGCAUCAUACGGUUUUUAUAUAUCAAAAUUAUCGGACAAAAAGCAAAAGCGGAC
Molecule: long non-coding RNA, 273 nt
Filed under: Mytilus galloprovincialis (Mediterranean mussel)
Lineage: Eukaryota; Metazoa; Mollusca; Bivalvia; Mytilida; Mytilidae
Source: RNAcentral